UAUUUUGGACUAUGGGGGCGACCCUGAUCGAGCCAUCCCGCGUGUGUGAAGAAGGUCUUCGGAUUGUAAAGCACUUUAAGUUGGGAGGAAGGGCUGUAGGUUAAUACUCUGAGGUUGUGACGUUACUAACAGAAUAAGCACCGGCUAUCUCUGUGCCAGCAGCCGCGGUAAUGCAGAGGGUGCAAGCGUUAAUCGGAAUUACUGGGCGUAAAGCGCGCGUAGGUGGUUCAGUAAGAUGGGUGUGAAAGCCCCGGGCUUAACCUGGGAACUGCUUUCAUAACUGCUGAGCUAGAGUACGGUAGAGGGAAGUGGAAUUUCCUGUGUAGCGGUGAAAUGCGUAGAUAUAGGAAGGAACACCAGUGGCGAAGGCGACUACCUGGACUGAUACUGACACUGAGGUGCGAAAGCGUGGGGAGCAAAC
Molecule: ribosomal RNA, 421 nt
Filed under: uncultured bacterium
Lineage: Bacteria
Description: partial 16S ribosomal RNA
Rfam family: Bacterial small subunit ribosomal RNA
Source: RNAcentral